RNAcentral lists this non-coding RNA (86 nucleotides) under Pediculus humanus corporis (human body louse). The record is from RNAcentral. Lineage: Eukaryota; Metazoa; Arthropoda; Insecta; Psocodea; Pediculidae.
GCUGGGAGUCGUUGUGUGCUCCUGUAAUCCAACUACUUAGAGGCUGGGUGCAGCGGAUGUUUAUUCUUAGGCAGACCUGUUCCCUA